CUAUUCCAUUCUCAACAACUUCUGCUACUUCCUACUCCAACAACUUUCUUUUUUCCCGCUGUCAUGGGCAAGGUCAAGAUCGGAAUCAGCGGAUUUGGAAGAAUUGGUCGUUUGGUGGCUAGGGUGAUUCAACACAAUCCAACUUUUAAAUUUGAAGUAUUUGAAGUUUGCAUGCCAUGAGCCUAUAGGAAAGGGAAAAAAAAGGAACAUAAUUGUAAAGAACAAGAUGAUAUAUUUUUCUCUCUUUUUGUCUUUGAUCAUGUCAUGCUUAUAGUAUUUAGUCAUACAAAUUUAUAUUAAAAUUGAUUUUUAGAUUUGUAUUUGGAUAAAAAAAAUUGUUGAAUUUUGUAUUUGUA
Glycine soja is the source of this 356-nucleotide long non-coding RNA. RefSeq lists it as uncharacterized. The transcript has 4 exons. NCBI's taxonomy places the organism in Eukaryota, Viridiplantae, Streptophyta, Magnoliopsida, Fabales, Fabaceae. The record is from RefSeq and is a predicted model, not a curated record.